UGGAGAAUCAUUCGCAAUGGGCGAAAGCCUGACGAUGCGACGCCGUGUGCAGGAUGACGGUCCUAUGGAUUGUAAACUGCUUUUGUACAGGAAGAAACAGUUCUACGUGUAGAACCUUGACGGUACUGUAAGAAUAAGGAUCGGCUAACUCCGUGCCAGCAGCCGCGGUAAUACGGAGGAUCCAAGCGUUAUCCGGAAUCAUUGGGUUUAAAGGGUCCGUAGGCGGUUAGAUAAGUCAGUGGUGAAAGCCCAUCGCUCAACGGUGGAACGGCCAUUGAUACUGUCUGACUUGAAUUAUUAGGAAGUAACUAGAAUAUGUAGUGUAGCGGUGAAAUGCUUAGAGAUUACAUGGAAUACCAAUUGCGAAGGCAGGUUACUACUAAUGGAUUGACGCUGAUGGACGAAAGCGUGGGUAGCGAACAGGAUUAGAUACCCAUGUAGUCCCUGAGCGGGCUGGCAAGGCGCAU
Molecule: ribosomal RNA, 467 nt
Filed under: uncultured bacterium
Lineage: Bacteria
Description: bacterial SSU rRNA
Rfam family: Bacterial small subunit ribosomal RNA
Source: RNAcentral